Molecule: long non-coding RNA, 2949 nt
Organism: Bombus pyrosoma
Lineage: Eukaryota; Metazoa; Arthropoda; Insecta; Hymenoptera; Apidae
Exons: 3
Source: RefSeq, a predicted model, not a curated record
CAUUCUGUCUGUGCAUAAAGAUACCUUCCCUUUUCAGAUGCCAGGCCAUCAAGCGUACAACGAUACGUUUUUCCACGAUUUUAGCAAUAUUUGCUGUUUGGUAAACACACAUUCGACGGUGAGACGUUGCUAAUCAUUCAAACAUACAGAGACUUUUUAGUCUUCUGCAAUUUGCACCUGCUCUCGUUUUCCAGUGGCGCGUUUUUCAGUCAGGUUCUACACGUUUCAUCUCUACUUCUGAACGAUAGGAAAUUUAAUACAGAAAAAUCACAGAGAAAUCACAGUAUAAGCGGUUGCCUGAUGAUUCUGCGCACAAAAAUAGGUGGAAAAAGAAUAACAUUUUUUAACUCUAACUUCUUGAUUUUUGUACGGGGCUGUUUCUCUGUACGGCAGAGUUUGACGCGAAAACGAUGCAGCACUGCAAUGUGUGACGGAUAAUGCUGUUCUCUACGCAAGAACAUUGGAAGGAAGUUUUUGAUAAUUAAAUUCUAAUUUUUCUCAAAGGUACGAUUCAUAUACUUGAACUUUAAUGAUUUAAUUUAAUAAUUAAUAAUACAAUUGAGUGUGAUAUAUUUUAAAGCACUGUACGACACAUAGACCCAGGUCACAAUUUUUACACUCAUAGUGUUUUUCAAAUUGCUCUUCGUUUUCUAUUUUGAAGCUACAUUUUGAGGUGAAAGAUUCUACAAAAUUAUAAGGAUACGGGUCGGCAUGUUAAAAAGAGCAUCUAACAAUGGUAUAUUUAUUUGAACAAAAAGCAACAAUUGUUAUCUGACACUGGCGUAUCAAAAACAAAGACUGUAUAUUCUGCCUGUAUAUCGUUAACACUGUUAUAAGACAUUGCGAGGGCAGAAGAAGUGUGAAGCAAGACAAAUGAAAAAGUUAAUUUAAUUCAAACGGCGAGCGAAUGAAUUAUAUAAAUUUGCAAGAGGGAAAGGAAUAGCAACAAAUAUUAAUUUACAGAGAAAUUCUAAAGAAACACGUCUUAACAAUACAAAUAGCCGAGACAUCGACCACAAAUUAAAUGCUUAUACUCGAUCGAUCAUCAAUAAAAUACCAAUCGCUAAAAUCUACUCUUCGGUUUCUUAGAACACACGCCUCUGUAAGUAUAAAAUAUAAAGUACAAAGUAGAAUAUUUGUUCUUAUUUCGCCAUUUAAUUUUCCAUUCGCCAAUAUCUUAUAAAAAUACUCGAUAUAAAUCGAUCGCGAUUAAAGGCAAAGGACAGUUAAUGAAAUAACGAGAUCUGGAAGUUGCAGCAAUCGAACAAGUUCGAACGUUCCUCGAAGGCAUUUUACAGUUUUCCAGCGCGGAGGACGCCGGUUCGACCUGUCUUAGGAAGCCUAUCGGAAACGUUAGUUUAUCACGGCGUGUUCCAGUUCGUGUCAAUUGCUCUAAAUUCAGGACGAGGCUGGAUCAGGGCUAGGGUAGCUAACUGGAUUGUAGGAAUUCAGGCUAAUACGAGUCUAUCAAAUUAUUCCGUCGGCCAGUCGCACGCGUUGCGACUCCUGCAGCAUCUUGUUGUCGGCUUUAACCCGACAAUUUUCAUCUGCGAAUAUCUGCUUUAUGUGUUCCUGCGGUGUUGACGUAGCGCGUUCGCUUCUGUGUACAAAUAUUCUGGCGAAAGAGUCGGCUCUGGUUUUAUAAAGUAGGAUUUCAAAAAUGCCAGAUAAAUCUUUCUUAGUGUUUAAACCAGCUUUGAUAUAUUUGCAGGUGGAUGUUUUCUUAAACAGCGAUUCCGGUGAUUUAUAACGUGGAUUUAAAUAUACAACGGACUUGUACGAAGACGUACAGUGACAAAUAAAAGUUAGAUUGCAGAAAUGAAGAUAAUUAAGUAUACCGUUGGUGAUUAAUUGGCUAUAGAUCCAGUGCUGUGAAUAAUUUUGCUCUUGAACACGUUCCCUUCGCAUUAGUUUUUCGAUAUCUUCGAGAAACCUCAAGAUAUCUUGAUAUGUUUGUUGAAAUAAAAGAUAAAAGGCAAUUUCUCAACAAGACAAUGCUCCUAUUCAUCUUGUCACCGCUACAAAAAAAGUGGUUUCAAGAUUUUGGAGUGGAAUCAUCAUCGUGAGCAACUUUGUGUCCUGAUCUGAACUCGAUCGAGGAGAAGCUGCGAGAAAUGAAGAUUUAAAUAAAUUAAUGGAUAGUGUACCUAACGGAGUAAUAGAAAUAAUAAAAGACAACAUGUUUUCUCACAGCGAGAAACACAAUUUUAGGAGAAAUUUUCAUUGUUUCUAGACUUGAAGAGAACACAGUUCUCAUCUUUGCUUUACGUUACAAUAUGAAAUAAUAUUAACGACUUGCUCAAUUUUUCUUUUAAUAUUAUGAAAAAUCUAAAAAUGCAUUUGAAUUUAUAAUUAUUCACGGCACUGUAUAUUAAAUGUACAAGACGCAAUUGAAGUUAUAUCAACUUGCAAAAUUCUGUACAAUAUGCAACAAUAAUAAUAAGAAGACUGAGAUAAUAGUAAGAAUAAUAGGUUUCAAACAAAGAUGCUACAAUCUGCGAUGAUAUUAUUUUAUUGGAAUCUUUCGGGUGGCGUGUUGGAUACGCCAGAAACAGACAAUAAUGUGAUAUGUGAAAUGUGAAAUCUGAAAACGAUUAGAUCUUGCUAAAUUAUUCACUGUCGUCGCUAUAUUUAACCGGGUUCAUCGAACCUGUACGUAGUACAUACAUCAGACGUGCUUUAAAUACAAAGGUUCAGCUGAUAUCCGAAAGGCAUGUGUAAUAGAAAAUUAAUUUUCCAUUAAAGUCUUCCAAUAAAAGCGUUGAACGAAAUAGCAUGAAUCCAUCGUAAAAAAGAUAUACAAUUUUCGUAUCAAAAAUCGUUUACCACACUUUUCACCGAAAUUCUUUGCAUUUGGAAGAUUUUGCGAAACGCUUAGAAAACGAAACGACGUUCAAGAUAAAAUUAUUUUCGACGAAAAAAGUGCGACAUCGCCGAAGAAAUGCAAAG